CGGCGUGUUGGCGGAGUGGUCUAACGCGCUAGACUUGAAUUUCGACUUCGGUUGUAAAUCAGUAAUCUAGUUCCUUCGGGAGCGCAUGUUCGAACCAUGCACACGUCGA
Molecule: non-coding RNA, 109 nt
Organism: Periconia digitata
Lineage: Eukaryota; Fungi; Ascomycota; Dothideomycetes; Pleosporales; Periconiaceae
Source: the annotation of a GenBank genome assembly